This 1346-nucleotide ribosomal RNA is filed under the name uncultured bacterium. RNAcentral describes it as "bacterial SSU rRNA". It matches the Rfam family "Bacterial small subunit ribosomal RNA", at positions 28 to 1381 of the family's 1533-position model. The record is from RNAcentral.
GACGAACGCUGGCGGCGUGCUUAACACAUGCAAGUCGAACGGAAAGGCCCUGCUUUUGUGGGGUGCUCCAGUGGCGAACGGGUGAGUAACACGUGAGUAACCUGCCCUUGACUUUGGGAUAACUUCAGGAAACUGGGGCUAAUACCGGAUAGGAGCUCCUGCUGCAUGGUGGGGGUUGGAAAGUUUCGGCGGUUGGGGAUGGACUCGCGGCUUAUCAGCUUGUUGGUGGGGUAGUGGCUUACCAAGGCUUUGACGGGUAGCCGGCCUGAGAGGGUGACCGGCCACAUUGGGACUGAGAUACGGCCCAGACUCCUACGGGAGGCAGCAGUGGGGAAUAUUGCACAAUGGGCGGAAGCCUGAUGCAGCAACGCCGCGUGCGGGAUGACGGCCUUCGGGUUGUAAACCGCUUUCGCCUGUGACGAAGCGUGAGUGACGGUAAUGGGUAAAGAAGCACCGGCUAACUACGUGCCAGCAGCCGCGGUGAUACGUAGGGUGCGAGCGUUGUCCGGAUUUAUUGGGCGUAAAGGGCUCGUAGGUGGUUGAUCGCGUCGGAAGUGUAAUCUUGGGGCUUAACCCUGAGCGUGCUUUCGAUACGGGUUGACUUGAGGAAGGUAGGGGAGAAUGGAAUUCCUGGUGGAGCGGUGGAAUGCGCAGAUAUCGGGAGGAACACCAGUGGCGAAGGCGGUUCUCUGGGCCCUUCCUGACGCUGAGGAGCGAAAGCGUGGGGAGCGAACAGGCUUAGAUACCCUGGUAGUCCACGCUGUAAACGGUGGGUACUAGGUGUGGGGUCCAUUCCACGGGUUCCGUGCCGUAGCUAACGCUUUAAGUACCCCGCCUGGGGAGUACGGCCGCAAGGCUAAAACUCAAAGGAAUUGACGGGGCCCCGCACAAGCGGCGGAGCAUGCGGAUUAAUUCGAUGCAACGCGUAGAACCUUACCUGGGUUUGACAUGGAUCGGGAGCGCUCAGAGAUGGGUGUGCCUCUUUUGGGGUCGGUUCACAGGUGGUGCAUGGCUGUCGUCAGCUCGUGUCGUGAGAUGUUGGGUUAAGUCCCGCAACGAGCGCAACCCUUGUUCACUGUUGCCAGCACGUUAUGGUGGGGACUCAGUGGAGACCGCCGGGGUCAACUCGGAGGAAGGUGGGGAUGACGUCAAGUCAUCAUGCCCCUUAUGUCCAGGGCUUCACGCAUGCUACAAUGGCUGGUACAGAGAGUGGCGAGCCUGUGAGGGUGAGCGAAUCUCGGAAAGCCGGUCUCAGUUCGGAUUGGGGUCUGCAACUCGACCUCAUGAAGUCGGAGUCGCUAGUAAUCGCAGAUCAGCAACGCUGCGGUGAAUACGUUCCCGGGGCU